Molecule: unclassified non-coding RNA, 300 nt
Filed under: fungal sp.
Lineage: Eukaryota; Fungi
Description: partial contains small subunit ribosomal RNA and internal transcribed spacer 1
Rfam family: Eukaryotic small subunit ribosomal RNA (bases 1-46)
Source: RNAcentral
AAGUCGUAACAAGGUUUCCGUAGGUGAACCUGCGGAAGGAUCAUUGACAAAUCUAAAAUAUAUGACAUUAGUUCAGGGUAAAACUUGGACUUAAUGUAAUAUUUACCCGGAGCCAGUUUGGCUCGGUCAAUUUUUGUCGAGAUUUAUCUCUACAGAAAUUGUCAAUUGAGCUAUUGAAGUGAAAUAUAUUCAAUAGCACAUAAACUCGAUUGUAUUUGUUUGACAGUGUAUUAUUUAAUUGUAAUUUUAGCACAAUUUGUGUUGAGCUUACCGUUAAGUAUUAUUUAAAAAUAUAUACAA